GAGUUGACGACGUUACCCUAGCAGAACGUCAGGAUUUCUGUCGCAACCUUUUACUUUCGACCUGAGGUUAAUGCAGGCCAGCAUAACUCGUUGAUGCGGAAGUGAAAGUACCAGGGUCAGUGCCAUGCAAACUUCCUCUUCGAAAGACACGAAGGAGGGAUUGUCCUGCUUUCGCCGAUGCGGAGGAUUACAAGUAACCAACCGUCAACAGCUUCGACAACUGAUCGAGGUGUCAGGCUGACAUUUCAUUGUGUAACGUGGGCUCGCUGUGUCGGAAGUGUUUGUUUGACCAAACGGACAAUGGCGACCGGAAACUGGAUGAUAUCGCUCAGUCACGCUGACCUCUGCUUCGUUUCUGCACGUGUCACCGGCUCCAAUGAAACGUGCAGAUCACUUCCGGCUAUGUUCAAUGCAUGUUUGUUUUUAGCACCGUCUGCUGGCGCGUCAUUGUGACUGAAAUAGACGUGCACUAUUCUCUA
This is a long non-coding RNA of Ornithodoros turicata, 479 nucleotides long. RefSeq lists it as uncharacterized. NCBI's taxonomy places the organism in Eukaryota, Metazoa, Arthropoda, Arachnida, Ixodida, Argasidae. The record is from RefSeq and is a predicted model, not a curated record. The transcript has 2 exons.